AGUGAACGCUGGCGGUAGGCCUAACACAUGCAAGUCGAACGGCAGCACAGUAAGAGCUUGCUCUUACGGGUGGCGCGUGGCGGACGGGUGAGGAAUACAUCGGAAUCUACUUUUUCGUGGGGGCUAACGUAGGGAAACUUACGCUAAUACCGCAUACGUCCUACGGGUGAAAGCAGGGGAUCUUCUGACCUUGCGCGAUUGAAUGAGCCGAUGUCGGAUUAGCUAGUUGGCGGGGUAAAGGCCCACCAAGGCGACGAUCCGUAGCUGGUCUGAGAGGAUGAACAGCCAGACUGGAAGUGAGACACGGUCCAGACUCCGACGGGAGGCAGCAGUGGGGAAUAUUGGACAAUGGGGGCAAGCCUGAUACAGGAAUACCGCGUGGGUGAAGAAGGAGUUCGGGUUGGAAAGCGCUUUUGUUGGGAAAGAAAAGCAGCAGGUUAAUACCCGGCUGUUCUGACGGUACCCAAAGAAUAAGCACCGGCUAACUUCGUG
This 492-nucleotide ribosomal RNA is filed under the name uncultured bacterium. RNAcentral's name for it is "partial 16S ribosomal RNA". It matches the Rfam family "Bacterial small subunit ribosomal RNA", at positions 29 to 507 of the family's 1533-position model. The record is from RNAcentral.